ACCAGGACCUGGCUUUUGCAGUUUGAAGAGCUGAGCUGGAAAAAAAAAAAAAAAAAAAACCUUGGCCAUGAAGACUGUCACUCAAAGUCUCCUUCAAUGACUGGGCAUAAAACCCCAGGAGAAAUAGCUAAACUGGCUCCUGUUAUAAACAGCCCUGGGCUUCCAUUUCCCUCCCUUGAUGGCUGUCGGGGCUCUGCUGACAUGGUGUGGACCUGAGUGUGUGCAGAUGGAAAAAUCGGCGUCGCACUGGGCAGAGAAGCUGGUGUUACUGGAGGACGGCUAGUCUCUGGUAGGCCAAGUUACUGGUGAAGCAUCCUCACAGCUGCUGUCUGUGAACAUGGGGAUCCACAUCCAUUCUGGAAGAGCUGCCUUUGGACACUUUCACUCAUAAUUCCCUGGAUGGCAAGGAAAGUCAUUUGAAAAAG
Marmota monax (woodchuck) is the source of this 425-nucleotide long non-coding RNA. RefSeq lists it as uncharacterized. The record is from RefSeq and is a predicted model, not a curated record. Lineage: Eukaryota; Metazoa; Chordata; Mammalia; Rodentia; Sciuridae. The transcript has 3 exons.